CGCAAGGAGGGGGAUGCCUAAGGCAGGGCUAGUGACUGGGGUGAAGUCGUAACAAGGUAGCCGUACCGGAAGGUGUGGCUGGAUCACCUCCUUAAAGGGAGACCUAAUUCGGGUAGGAGACGAAAAAAAAGUAGUCGCUACCAAGAAUCAAUCCCAAAAGGUCGGAGCGAGGCGAAAUUGGCUUUCAAACUAGGUUCUGGGUUCACACAAGACCUGAAUCAGGAACAAGGGCUAUUAGCUCAGGUGGUUAGAGCGCACCCCUGAUAAGGGUGAGGUCCCUGGUUCGAGUCCAGGAUGGCCCACCUGUACAGGUGGCCAAAACCAAAAAAACAAGCAAGGAA
This 341-nucleotide unclassified non-coding RNA is filed under the name uncultured Microcystis sp. RNAcentral's name for it is "partial contains 16S ribosomal RNA, 16S-23S ribosomal RNA intergenic spacer, and 23S ribosomal RNA". The stretch from base 1 to 94 matches the Rfam family "Bacterial small subunit ribosomal RNA", at positions 1440 to 1533 of the family's 1533-position model. The record is from RNAcentral. Lineage: Bacteria; Bacillati; Cyanobacteriota; Cyanophyceae; Chroococcales; Microcystaceae.